UAAAAUUUGAGGAACCCGGACAAGUGAAAGACAAAGAAAGAAGUGACAGUCGAUGAACAGUAUCGAGAUGGUGGGUGGAGCAGACAUCGUAAUCCUGGACUGGACUUCGAGGAUUAGGCUGAGAUUGUCUGGACAGCACAGUGGGAGCAGAUUGAGGCUGUUUUCUCACACACGCAGUCUCAGAAAGAGCUCAGGGGUCUUUUUUGUUUUCUGGAGAAACUGCAGUUGAGAUUUCAGAAGAAGUGUAACCUCCAGCGGAGAAAGGAGCUGUGCAUCGUGCGUUCUUGCAAAAAUCUGCGGGCCACUUUGAUUAGUAAUUGCAAGAUAUGCUACAUCCUCACAUCUACAACCGCAUGCGUCACGGCUACUGUAAGACAAACACCUAUUAUCCUCGAGAGACUGUUGACUCAAAUCUACCAGAGGUGGAAAGUUGGCCAAUGAGAGGACAGUUGCCAGGCAGUCUGUACCUUGUUUGGAGGCGGCUGGAGGCUCACACAGCUGUUCCAUUGAAAAGCAGCAGGACAUAAUAACAGGGGCCCCUCGCCAGACACAUACACACACACACACACAAACACACACCCACACACGCACACACACGCUCGCUUCACGCACACACACGCUCGCUUCCACAAAGGCACACAAUGCAGGCUGAAUUGAAUUCUGUGGUCUGAAAAGUUAACUGCGCUACUUUUUC
Molecule: long non-coding RNA, 694 nt
Organism: Astatotilapia calliptera (eastern happy)
Lineage: Eukaryota; Metazoa; Chordata; Actinopteri; Cichliformes; Cichlidae
Source: Ensembl